Molecule: ribosomal RNA, 228 nt
Filed under: uncultured bacterium
Lineage: Bacteria
Description: partial 16S ribosomal RNA
Rfam family: Bacterial small subunit ribosomal RNA
Source: RNAcentral
CAAAAAACGACAGUCUCAGUUCGGAUUGAAGGCUGAAAUUCGCCUUCAUGAAGCCGGAAUUGCUAGUAAUGGCAGGUCAGCAUACUGCCGUGAAUACGUUCCCGGGCCUUGUACACACCGCCCGUCACACCAUGAGAGUUGGGGAUACCCGAAGCCUGUGAGCUAACAGUAAUGAAGCAGCAGUCGAAGGUAGAAUCAAUGAUUGGGGUGAAGUCGUAACAAGGUACC